RNAcentral lists this ribosomal RNA (253 nucleotides) under uncultured bacterium. Its description in RNAcentral is "partial 16S ribosomal RNA". It matches the Rfam family "Bacterial small subunit ribosomal RNA", at positions 524 to 776 of the family's 1533-position model. The record is from RNAcentral.
UACGAAGGGAGCUAGCGUUGUUCGGAAUCACUGGGCGUAAAGCGCACGUAGGCGGAUUUGCCAGUCAGGGGUGAAAUCCCGGGGCUCAACCUCGGAACUGCCUUUGAUACAGCAAGUCUUGAGUUCGAGAGAGGUGGGUGGAAUUCCUAGUGUAGAGGUGAAAUUCGUAGAUAUCUGGAGGAACACCAGUGGCGAAAGCGCGUGACUGGGCCACAACUGACGCUGAGGAACGAAAGCCAGGGGAGCGAAAGGG